RNAcentral lists this long non-coding RNA (1237 nucleotides) under Macaca mulatta (Rhesus monkey). Its description in RNAcentral is "lncRNA (ENSMMUG00000049327.1)". Lineage: Eukaryota; Metazoa; Chordata; Mammalia; Primates; Cercopithecidae. The record is from RNAcentral.
GCAGAGCCUGUCCUGGAGCACAGUUCAUUGUCAAAGGUGAACUCUCGCAAGCCACAACUCCACAGUCCUUGAAGGAUUCAGCACGGGGGCCUCGUCCCAUAAGCAGAUGAGGAUGUGGUUAGUGGAUGAACAAAAGGCUCUGGUGAUGGUGAUGUGUGGACUGCGUUUGAGCAGUAGACGUACUCGUGGGGACGUCCCCUAAGGAAAUAAGCUUCUGUGCAGAGAAAACACUUUCUCCAGGAAAAUCCUCCCAUGGGAGUGAUGGUCUCAUUCUGAAAAUCGUGGUGGUGCGGGCAAGAGCCUCACUGGGUGCCAGUAGGGAUUGCACCAUGUUAGUGCCAUCAAAGGAGUAGUUUGCAGAAAGCAUGCUGUCAUCUGAAAGGUGCUCCCGGCGGUGUUCACUGGCAAAAGCCAGGGGUAAAACGGUCUGUGCAGUGUGACUAUGGUGGAAGAGGACAAAAGACUGGAGGGAAUCCCACGUGGACACGGCGAUAAUAGCACAGGGCCAUUCAGCGCAUGUUUCUGUGAGCCCGACGGCUCCGAUAUCGAUGAUCAGUUCAUUUCAUCCUCACAAUACCGGAAGGAGGUGGAUACUAUUAACACACCCAUUUUACAGAAGAGAAAACCGAGGCAGAAGGACUCAGGGAAUGUUACUCAAGCUCACACACUGGUGGGUCUUACGGCAUGCAAUCGAACCUGGGUCCAGGAGUCUGACUCACUGGAACCACUCCCUGCCACAGCCUCCUCCUCCUGUUACUGUCCUGCCUGGGACUGGGUGGGGCUCUGUGACUUCUGUCUUUUUUUUCUGAGACGCAGUCUCACUCUGUCACCCAUGCUAGAGUGCAGUGGCAAGAUCUCAGCUCACUGAACCUCUGCCUCCAGGGUUCAAGUGAUUCUCCUGCCUCAGCUUCCUGAGUAGCUGGGAUAACACGCAUGCACCACCACGCCUGGCUAAUUUUUGUAUUUUUAGUAGAGAUGGGUUUCGCCACGUUGGCUAGGAUGGUCUCGAACUUUUAACCUCUGGUGAUCUGCCCACCUCGGCCUCCCAAAGUGCUUGGAUUACAGGUGUGAUGGUGCAUGCUUGUAAUCCCAGUGAUUCAGGAGGCUGAGGCAGGAGAAUCUCUUGAACCCAGGAAGCAGAAGUUGCAGUAAGCCGAGAUCAUGCCAUUGCACUCCAGCCUGCCAGCCUGGGUGACAGCGAGACUCUGUCUCAAAAAAAAAAAAAAAAAAAAAAAAA